UUAAAACGGAUUUUUUCGGAAUGAAGUUUUUUAUGACUGAGUGGCGGACGGGUGAGUAACGCGUGGGUAACCUGCCUCACACAGGGGGAUAGCAGUUGGAAACGACUGGUAAUACCGCAUAAGCGCACAGCUUCGCAUGAAGCAGUGUGAAAAACUCCGGUGGUGUGAGAUGGACCCGCGUCUGAUUAGGUAGUUGGUGAGGUAACGGCCCGCAAAGCCGACGAUCAGUAGCCGACCUGAGAGGGUGACCGGCCACAUUGGGACUGAGACACGGCCCAGACUCCUACGGGAGGCAGCAGUGGGGAAUAUUGCACAAUGGAGGAAACUCUGAUGCAGCGACGCCGCGUGAGUGAAGAAGUAUUUCGGUAUGUAAAGCUCUAUCAGCAGGGAAGACAGUGACGGUACCUGACUAAGAAGCUCCGGCUAAAUACGUGCCAGCAGCCGCGGUAAUACGUAUGGAGCAAGCGUUAUCCGGAUUUACUGGGUGUAAAGGGAGUGUAGGUGGUAUCACAAGUCAGAAGUGAAAGCCCGGGGCUCAACCCCGGGACUGCUUUUGAAACUGUGGAACUGGAGUGCAGGAGAGGUAAGUGGAAUUCCUAGUGUAGCGGUGAAAUGCGUAGAUAUUAGGAGGAACACCAGUGGCGAAGGCGGCUUACUGGACUGUAACUGACACUGAGGCUCGAAAGCGUGNGGAGCAAACAGGAUUAGAUACCCUGGUAGUCNACGCCGU
RNAcentral lists this ribosomal RNA (730 nucleotides) under uncultured bacterium. RNAcentral's name for it is "bacterial SSU rRNA". It matches the Rfam family "Bacterial small subunit ribosomal RNA", at positions 62 to 803 of the family's 1533-position model. The record is from RNAcentral.